AAGUCGUAACAAGGUUUCCGUAGGUGAACCUGCGGAAGGAUCAUUACCGAGUUAGGGUCUCUCCUGCGAGGGCCCGACCUCCCAACCCUGUGUCUACACAAACCAGUACGUGUUGCUUCGGCGGACCGGCAGUCUCUCGCGAGGCCGCCGCCGGGGAAGAUUCCACUUCUACCCUGGAGAGUCGUCCGUCGAUGGCCCCAACCCCCCAAAAACUCAGUAUAACAAAUCGUGGAUAUUUUCUGAAUCACACCUUUGAUGUAACAAUCAAAAAUUAAAACUUUCAACAACGGAUCUCUUGGUUCUGGCAUCGAUGAAGAACGCAGCGAAAUGCGAUAAGUAAUGCGAAUUGCAGAAUUUCCGUGAGUCAUCGAAUCUUUGAACGCACAUUGCGCCCUUUGGCAUUCCGAAGGGCAUGCCUGUUCGAGCGUCAUUAUCCUCUCUCAAACCUCGGGUUUGGUGUUGGACCGUGUUGGACGCUCCCGUCCAACUGGUCUCAAAGACAAUGACGGCGUCCGUGGGACCCUCUUCGCACUGAGCUUCUCGGAGCACGCGUUGAGUGUCAAGGUCCCCCGGGCCCGGUCACACCUUUUGUAUCAUUUUCAGGUUGACCUCGGAUCAGGUAGGAAUACCCGCUGAACUUAA
This 642-nucleotide ribosomal RNA is filed under the name uncultured fungus. RNAcentral's name for it is "eukaryotic LSU rRNA". The stretch from base 276 to 430 matches the Rfam family "5.8S ribosomal RNA". The record is from RNAcentral. Lineage: Eukaryota; Fungi.